AUUAGAGUUUGAUCCUGGCUCAGAUUGAACGCUGGCGGCAUGCCUUACACAUGCAAGUCGAACGGCAGCAUGAUCUAGCUUGCUAGAUUGAUGGCGAGUGGCGAACGGGUGAGUAAUACAUCGGAACGUGCCCUGUAGUGGGGGAUAACUAGUCGAGAGAUUAGCUAAUACCGCAUACGACCUGAGGGUGAAAGUGGGGGACCGCAAGGCCUCAUGCUAUAGGAGCGGCCGAUGUCUGAUUAGCUAGUUGGUGAGGUAAAGGCUCACCAAGGCGACGAUCAGUAGCUGGUCUGAGAGGACGAUCAGCCACACUGGGACUGAGACACGGCCCAGACUCCUACGGGAGGCAGCAGUGGGGAAUUUUGGACAAUGGGCGAAAGCCUGAUCCAGCAAUGCCGCGUGUGUGAAGAAGGCCUUCGGGUUGUAAAGCACUUUUGUCCGGAAAGAAAUGGCUCUGGUUAAUACCUGGGGUCGAUGACGGUACCGGAAGAAUAAGGACCGGCUAACUACGUGCCAGCAGCCGCGGUAAUA
RNAcentral lists this ribosomal RNA (531 nucleotides) under uncultured bacterium. RNAcentral's name for it is "bacterial SSU rRNA". It matches the Rfam family "Bacterial small subunit ribosomal RNA", at positions 1 to 525 of the family's 1533-position model. The record is from RNAcentral.